AGCAUUAGCUUACAGGAGGGUAGGGGAAUUAAGGUUUCAGAUGGCUUUGAGGUUGCCAAUAUUUUAAACAGGGGGAUUUUAGGGAGUUAGGAUACAAACCAAGGAAUGUGAGCAAGCUUUAGAACCUUGAAAAGGCGAGGUAACAGAUUCUCCCUCCAGCCUCCAGAAAGGAAUGUAACCCUCUUGAGACUGAUUUUAGCUCGUGAAGACCCACUGUCAAACCUCUGACCUACAGAACUGUGGAGGCCAUGUCCACACAUGAAAAUUUGGAAAAAAUACCCACAUUAUUUAAAAUAGUAAAUUACUAGAAAAUGUACUGAAAAUUACAACGUAUGCAUUCGUUCAUAUCUAAGGUUAUCUUGAAGAUAAAAAUUUUAGAAUGGCUAUCAGUGAGUAUGAGAGGACACAGGGAAGUCUCACUUCAUCAAACUCAGAAGGCUCCAUGCAUACAGCAAGAGAAGCUCUCUAUUCCAUGUGUGAUAUGUACCUGGUGGCUAGCAUACUGCAGAGACUAAAGAAAGACAAGCAGAUCUUUCAUAGAAGCACUAGAAAGAUCCUGUGUUUUCAGGGAAUUUUUGCACAGUCACUGAUAAAAAUGUCGAACAUUUCUGCAAAUAAUGUUAAGGGUUUGACUCCAGAAGGCCACUUCCCAGCACAGAACAAGAUCAGAGAAGGUGGGAAGAGGAGGGACAUGCAACAACCUCAGGAAAACAAGGAUUCCCCGCUGGACUGGCAAAUGGUGGGUUGCCUUAAGCAAAUGUGGUGAAGUUUUGUGUUUGUUUGUAUUAACUAGUUUCCAUCUUAACAUAAAAUCAAGGGAUCCCUGGGUGGCGCAGCGGUUUGGCGCCUGCCUUUGGCCCAGGGCGCGAUCUUGGAGACCUGGAAUCGAAUCCCAUGUCGGGCUCCCAGUGCAUGGAGCCUGCUUCUCCCUCU
Canis lupus familiaris (dog) is the source of this 933-nucleotide long non-coding RNA. RefSeq lists it as uncharacterized. The transcript has 4 exons. The record is from RefSeq and is a predicted model, not a curated record. Lineage: Eukaryota; Metazoa; Chordata; Mammalia; Carnivora; Canidae.